CAGAAUCCCGCCUAGACGUGACGAUACCAUGGCGCCCGGGCUAUACGAUUGGUCUCGGUUAGCCGGCCCUCCGGGGGCCCGGCGAGGAAAGACGUUUGACACUGGCCUGGGGCGCGGCCGAAUGAUGGCCGCCCCUCUCCUGUGACACACCGCAUGUUUGUGAAUAACUGGGUGUUAAACCACUUGCAUACGACCUGAUUCUGGGUCAGGGUGUCGUAAGUAGCAGAGCAGCUUUAUGACUGCGAUCU
RNAcentral lists this ribosomal RNA (248 nucleotides) under Neocyttus helgae. Its description in RNAcentral is "partial 28S ribosomal RNA". Lineage: Eukaryota; Metazoa; Chordata; Actinopteri; Zeiformes; Oreosomatidae. The record is from RNAcentral.